GCAGUGAUGCAGAAGCUGAAAGAAGGGGCUAGCAAAGCUCUGAGCUGACGAACAGAAACAGCCUCAGGCAAGUACGAAGGGCAAGUGUGCCAAAUCUCACAAAACCCAAUAACUAGACGGAAUUCGUAUAUGUAAAGGCU
Molecule: non-coding RNA, 140 nt
Filed under: Parasutterella excrementihominis
Lineage: Bacteria; Pseudomonadati; Pseudomonadota; Betaproteobacteria; Burkholderiales; Sutterellaceae
Source: RNAcentral